GGCUCUUUCGUUUAGUGAAAAACAUGUUAGAAUGUGCAAUAGCUGUUGUUUAUUACGGAUGCACAAUAUUAUCUAAUACUCAGGUACUCCGAUUUUGUGACUGUAGCAUUUUAGGACAAAUCAGAAGUCCGGCUUUACCUGACUGACUCCAAAGAAUGUCUUCGCACAAAGUAGUUGUAACUCGCAGGACAACGACCAACAAGCGGCCUUUGUCUUUCGCCCUUCACACUGAUUACGUCAAGUCAACUCCAGGCAUUUUAAAAGCAGUGGAGACGGUAUUAGGAACUGUAUCUUUUGGAUUGCUCGCUCACUACUGCCAGCCUUCUAACCCUCUCGCUAGGAAAUGGCUUGUUGCUGAACCGGAAGAAGUCUUCUUUUUCAUGACUACUUUUGUCUGCGUCGUGAUAACAUUUCUUUUACUGUUGUCUUGCAUCGUGUCUUUUCCGACUGCGUCUUUUAUUCCGAAAACACUUUUUGAACUUCUCUACCAUUGCUUGGCCUUUAUUUUCUACCUGUGUGGUAGCCUGAGUGUACUGAUACUGGUUGCAGGUCACAAUGAAACUGCUUACUGGAGUAGCAAUUACGGAUUCGAGGGAAAAAUAACUGCAGCGGUGAUCGGACUGGUGAAUACCGCACUGUAUUUCUUUAGUGCUUUCUUUUCAUUUCGAUCCUUCAAUAGAAACUGAAAAAUCGUUCCUCUAAAAACUUUACAGAAAAAUUGACGAACAAAGACCAAAAUAAGAGUGUAUCAUUUCAAAAGGGACGUCCAUUCACAUAUUUCAAGUUUAGAAGCUAAGAGGAUAAAACUCAACAAUGCUCUUUUGUAGAAGAACAUGUCAUGUUUUCAACACUGAUCUACUUUCAAAUUUUUGUUUUAAAGAAACGUCAUUUCAACAAUGCUGUUUUGUAGGAGAACAUGCCAUCUUUUCAACAUUGACUUCCUUCAACUUUAUUUUGUAAAGAAACGUCAUUUCAUCAUUACUCUACUUCAACAAUGCUCUUUUGUAGAAGAACGUGCUACUUUUCAACAGUGCUCUAUUGUAGAAGAAUGAUCCGUUUUUUUUUCAAUAUUUAUUCUACAAGGUUGAAUAAAGUCUCCAUAUUAAAACUUUGCUACAUAAAUCCAGCCUGAUGAACUACUAACUGUGAAACUCUUGUUUUAAAAGUGAUAAGCACAACAUUUUAGACCUUAGCAAUAGCAUCGAUUAAUCCACCAUUUUCACUUAUAAACGUUUUGACCCUCAAAAUGUUAUAUUAUUGCAAUAAAACAGCGCUCUGCCAGUGAAUUAUGAUAAGAAAA
RNAcentral lists this unclassified non-coding RNA (1300 nucleotides) under Limulus polyphemus (Atlantic horseshoe crab). RNAcentral describes it as "uncharacterized LOC106465604, transcript variant X1". Lineage: Eukaryota; Metazoa; Arthropoda; Merostomata; Xiphosura; Limulidae. The record is from RNAcentral.